Molecule: long non-coding RNA, 7937 nt
Filed under: Malus domestica (apple)
Lineage: Eukaryota; Viridiplantae; Streptophyta; Magnoliopsida; Rosales; Rosaceae
Description: long non-coding RNA (MDOM_LNC008577)
Source: RNAcentral
AAGUUGCAAUAUGCAAAGUAGUCCUUUGACCUGAGGCAUCAUAGAUGUUUAAUGGUUAGGUCCUUGAUCUUUGAUCAUGUCAAACGGCAUUCCAUCGGAGUGUCCACGGCAUUGUUGGGGUCAAGCUAUCUAGUCAUGUAGGCAUAUGAAUGCACAACAAGGGAUCUCUAACCUUCCAUGGUGGAAGGAGAAUACUUUAAGAUAUGAUUCUAAAGUCUUUGGCCAAAGCAUAUGAAUAUGACUUAGGAAGUUUGUUCCAAAUCAUAUUCAAGGGAAUCAUAUAGAGAUGUAUCACAAGGAUAGUAGACAUGAAACAAACUAUCACUCAAACAAUGUGAUUAAGAGUAUUGUAUUAGAGAAGGACCGUAUUGUAUUGUAUUAGAGAAGGACCGUAUUGCAUUGUAGUUGCAACUGGAUAGGUUCUCCAACCAAUUCUACUUAGCUUGGGUAACCAUGACAUACUGCUAGGUGUCACUCAUGGUUUGUGGAAGCCCUAAAUGAUUAGCAAACACUAAUCAUUAAGGGAGAAUUGAAAUGUGGUUUCAAUUUCACAAUCGAUCGUUAAGAGUAACAAUCGCCCACUACCUCGCUAAUUGGAACCUAAUGGAUCAUACACCGAGUAAGGAUGUAUGUGAGGAAAUUAAAUGAAAUGGAUAAGCAAUUAAAUGGUUUAAUUGAAGAAUGGUCAAGAUUAAUUAAUUAGUUAAUUAAUUUUACGAAAAGGUUCGUAUUGGGCUUUUAAGUUGGUUUUGGGCUUCGGGGCCUCAAAAGCGUUUUGGUCCACAAGGCCCAUUAUAUUUAAGUUGUAUGACAACUAAAACAAAAUGGGCAAUUAGCCCAAUAACAAAGGUAAGGCCGGCCAUAAGGGUGAGGGUAGGAAACUUGGAUUAAUUACAAGUUUGCCACUCACUUGAAAUGAAGUAUAAAAUCAACUUUAUAGCUUUAUUUCUACUUAGGGUUUUCUUAAAGAAAUUGGGUGAAACACUUUCUCUCAUUUUUCUCUAAAGAGGCCGGCCACUUAGGGGAGGGAUAUCUAGCAAUCUCUUCUUCCCUAAGUCAUCCAUAUUAUCUUCACAAAAUACAUCCUUGGUGUGGAGACUUAGAGACAUCAAACUUUUGGUGUUUUUGGAGAACAAAUCCUCAAAUCCUCAAAGAAUCAAAGGAGCUUGGAGGUGACUUGAAGGCCCUCCACUUGGGUGAAUCCCUUGUGUAAACAAGGAUGAGCUUCAAGGGUAAAGAAACUCUAAAUCUUUACUUCUCUUUAAUGUUGUUAAAGAGUUUAUUGGUUCACCAUAUACUAGGCUUUGAAAGUCAUGGGUUUUAUGAAUUGUUUUUGGAUGCAUGCCUACUUUAAAGUGUUUAUAGCUUGCAUAUGUAUUCAAAUGUUCAUACUUGUUCUCAGCUAGGACAAAAUUUUUCCUUCAAGUGGUAUCGGAGCCUAGGCCUAGUUUAUGGUGAAUCCUUUUGGGUUUUGCGAUUUUCAUGAUUUAUGAUUUAAAUGUUGUAAAUGUUACAAGCUUUGUUCUUGCUUUUGAAUAUAUAAAUUUUGCUAGAAAAUUUAGCAUCUCAAAUGUUGUAGAUGUAUUUCAUUUAAGCAUGAAUAUUGGAACUAAAAUUUGGUGCCAUGUAUUUUGGGAAAUUCGGCCAAAUCCUUAGGGUGAUUUUUUGGGACCCCUAAGUACCCUAGGAUAUUAGCCCUCUUUUGAGUGGUGAAAAAUUGAGUUUUGGUGAAUGAAAACAUUCAUGGAGCUAUUAUGAGUUUUCAUGGUGUUCUUCAAAUGUUCUUGAAGUUCUUGCCAAGAAAAAAAGGUUUGAAGUUUUGAUUCAAAAGUUUUAUGUUUUUCAUAAAGUUUUUGGUUUAUUAUUUUGAUGGGUGAUUGUUAUUGGUGAGAAGUGAUUAAAUGGCUUUAAUGUUUGUCAAAACUCAUAAAUGUUUUACAAAACAUUUUCUUACAAACCAUCAAUUUCACCUUUACCUCACCCACCAAAAUCAACUUGCAUAAAACCCUUUCACACUCCUUUCACACUCCAAAACCGGCCACCCCCUAGUGGGGGUACUUUUGGGGUCUUUUUAUGCAAUUACAUAGAGUUUUGAUACUUUUGUGUAUUUGCACUUUGGCCCAAAAGUUUACGUUUUUACGUUAAGGCCCUAAAAUGCUAAAGGACGAAUUGUUUUGAUCCUUUAAUGAUGUUUUUACAUUAAUAAAAUUUUGGGAUCUAGUUGUAAUUACAUGAAGUUGUGGACUAUUGUGUUUUUACAAAGUGACCCCAAAAGUUUUUUGUAUUUGCAUUAUGGCCCAAUUGUUGUGGUCAUAGUUUCCUUUUGGCCCAAAAAGGAUGAGAACAAAAAUUGUUUUGUCUCUUUAAUGAGAAUUGGAUUUUCAUUUCAUUUAGUUCCAUUUAAAUCAAUUCUAUGGAUCCAAAAACCAAUUGUUUAAGUUGAUUUCUUAGUUAAUGUGAUUGAUUAAGAAAAGGGUGAUUAUGAACCAAUGGCCACGAUAAUUGAGCUAUGUGAUUGGCCGAUUUACAUUAUGAAUGUUUGGGUUUUAGUAGUGUAGAUUUGAAUGUAAUUUGAUUAAUUCAAUUUGUUGUAAAUGGACAUAAGUCCAUCAUUUGAUUUGUGUUGUAAAAGGGCAUAAGCCCUUCUUAUUAUUUCAUGUAUUCCUUUUGUUUAUUUGUAUGCAAAAUGGAAUAGUUGGGUCCAACGCCCAAUAGGAAAUAACGGUUUAAUUGGAUUAAACGCGUAACUAAAAUCAACAACUAUCUACCUUAAACCCAAGGUCCAACACAAGGCUCGUGUUGGAUCAAAUCGAACGGUUCAUAAUCAUCCUAAAACCUAAUAUGACUAUAUAGUCCAUAUGAGGAUGCAAUGCAUUCGUUAGUAGUUCUAUAUAGUCUCGCUUGUUUCUUCGAAAUAGUGGGAGUAUUAUAAACUACUAAUUCAUAUUAACUUGGACCAAUGGUUGUGAUAGGCCCAAGUUCUUUUAAUGUGAUUAAAAUGUUUUGAUGUAGCCUAAAACUACUCCCUCAAAACGAAUAUUAAGUUGAUAAGCGAGAGAUGCUUUGAACAUCUCUUCGUAGGCCUUCCACUGUGGUGGGAUCCAAUCGUUUGUGACUCAUGCACCGGCUUCACCCUAUAAUGGGGAAAUUCAAAGUAUGUGCUUACAUCCAGGAGGAACCCAUAACAUAUGAUGAGGUGAGUGUAGACAACGAGUAUGACCAACAUGAUAUAAUUCUGAGGUUGUGCUUGAACCUCUACAUAAACUAAGCAUGGUGGGAAUGACUUAACUAAGUGCAAUGGUGCCAACAUGAUAUAAUUCUGUGAGGUAAUCAUUCUCUAGAGGCCAAACAAGAUGGGUAAUUACAAAGAGUUGUAAAUGAAUAAUGCGUUAUUCUCUCAUCAUUAUUUUUGCUAACCAACAUGAUAUAAUUCUGAGGUGGGCUUGGUAAUGGUGAGUCUCCCAUACCCCGCUAAGAGUUCAAUAUAACUCUCGAAUUCUAUUGAGGGAUGUGGAAUUUUCCAAAAAAUAGUGGGUGGUACUAUUUGAUUCAAAGACCCAAUCAAAUAGUUUUAAAACAAACAAUCUAAUACGAUUUCUGUUAUGUUAUGUAGUGAACGACAUGCCUAAAAUUAUACCCACCAUUAUACUUGACAAAAGGGGCCUUAAGGGCCAACGUUUCCUUGCUUGGUAUCGCCAUAUUGAGAAUGUCUCAAAAGUGAAAGACAUAUUGUAUGUGCUUAAGCAAUCCCCUCCUCAUGUACCUCCUACGAAACUAGCUUCAAAGGAGGAGUGUCAAAAUUAUGUUAGACACUAUGAGGAUGACUUACAAGCCAAAUGCUUAAUCCUCACUUCACUUAGUGAGGAGCUUAUGAAGCUACAUAAGCACAUGAACACUUCUUGUGCCAUGGUUGAAAAUUUGCAUAAGAUGCAUGACAUUGAGACUAGUAAUGUACGAUUCUCAAAUGUUUGUAGUCUAAUGAAUGCCAAGAUGGCAAAGGGGGCAUCGGUCCAUAAACAUGGACAAAAGAUGGAAAAGAUAUUUAAAGAUCUUUAAAAGUUUAGGAACUUCCAUCGAUGGGAAAAUGGCCCAAGACUUUUUCCUUGCAUCUCUCUCGGAUGAUUUCACUAAGUUUAUUGUAAACUAUAAAGUGAAUAGAUUCGAUCAUUCUUUGAAAGAGAUGAUUGACAUGUGCUGUAAAUUUGAAAAAGGUUUCAAAAGGGACAGUGGGAGUGAGAAUGCAAACACAAGGAAAAGGUUGCAUAAGAAGAAGGCAAAGAAAUCCAAAGGAACAUGCUUUCAUUGUGGAAAGGAUGAACGUUGGAAGAAGAAAUACAGGGUGCACAUUGCGAGCCUUAUGACACGAACUUUUGAAGAGACUAUUUCUGUCAUAGAGAGUGCUUUUACAGUGAGCUCCAAUUCCUGGAUAUUUGAUUCAGGCGCUAGUCAACAUAUUUGCAAUACGUUGCAGGGACUAGCAGGGAGCAGGUCACUGCGCAAUGGGGAGAUGGUUGUGCGAGUUGGGAACGGCACUAAAAUCUCUGCAAAAGCAAUAGGCACCUACACUCUUAACCUACCCUUUGGGGAAGUCCUGGAACUUAAAAAUUGUUUAUAUUUUCCUUCAUGUAUAAAAGAAUUUGAUUUCUAUCUCUAAGCUUUUACGAGAUGGGCACUCAGUAUUGUUUGACAAAAUGAGUUGCACUUUAUACUUGAACGGUCGUAUUAUCUCUCAUGGUAAUAUGAUAGAGGGACUUUUUCACCUAGAGAUGAAUAGUGGGACACACUGUAUUGAAAGCGGGAAUACCUCAAAACCCAAAAGGGCUAGAGAAGAAGUUAACCAAGAAAAGAUGUGGCAUCUUAAACUUGGACAUGUGAACCUUGAUAAGAUUCGCAAGAUGUCGAAAGACGGAUAUAUCCGCCCAUUAGGUAAUGACCGGAUGGGUACUUGUGAAUGUUGCUUGAAAGGGAAGAUGACCAAAUCUCCAUUUACUGGAAAAGGAGAGCGUGCCACUGAAAUUCUAGGGUUAAUCCACACUGACGUAUGUGGACCUAUGUCUACUACGUCGAGAGGAGGCUUCUCCUACUAUAUCACAUUCACCGACGAUCACUCUCGGUUUGGCUAUGUGUAUCUUAUGAAGUACAAGUCAGAAUCCUUUGAAAGGUUCAAAGAAUUCAAGAAUGAAGUUGAGAAGCAAACUGGGAAACAGAUAAAGACCCUAAGAUCGGAUCGAGGGGGUGAAUAUCUGAGUAACGAGUUCCUAGAUUAUCUCAAAGAGUGUGGAAUUGUAUCACAAUGGACUCCACCAGGAACUCCUCAACAUAACGGAGUUUCUGAGAGGAGAAACCGAACCUUGAUGAACAUGGUUCGUUCUAUGAUGAGUUCCGCUGAUCUACCAAUAUCAUUCUGGGGAUAUACACUACACACAGCAGCUUAUUUGCUAAAUACAGUGCCCUCUAAAUCUGUUCCACAAACACUAUAUGAGAUAUGGUAUGGGAAGAAGCCAAGUCUUAAACAUCUUAAGAUUUGGGGUUGUCCAGCAUAUGUUAAGAAACAAGAUGCUGGAAAGCUUGAAGCGAGAUCCGUUAAAUGCUAUUUUGUGGGGUAUCCUAAACAGACUUAUGGAUACGAAUUCUAUCACCCUGACGACCAGAAAGUCUUUGUCGCCAGAACUGCUAUAUUCAUGAGGAAGGAUGAAUUCGUUCUUAAAGGAACUAGCAAGAUAGAAUUGAAAGAAAUUAAUGAGAUUAAUGAUGAACCACAAACCAAGCACUCAACAAGUUGACAACCCUGUUCCUGAACCCCUAGCUCCACGUAGAUCUGAACGGGUUAGUAAGCCACCUAAGAGGUAUGGCUUAGACAAUGACUUUGCGGAAUUGCACGUUCUAGGUGACAAUGACACAAAGGAGGACCCUAGGGACUACACUUAAGCAAUGUCCGACAUUAAUUCAAAGAGAUGGCAAGAGGCCAUGAAAUUCGAGAUGGAUUCCAUGUAUCAAAAUCAGGUCUGGACUCUUGUAGACCCUCUAGAAGGUAUUGUACCUGUUGGAAACAAAUGGGUCUUCAAAAGGAAGAUAGGCAUUGAUGGGAACGUGGAGACUUAUAAGGCUAGACUCGUAGCCAAGGGUUACAGGCAACGAGAAAAGAUUGAUUAUGAAGAAACCUUCUCUCUUGUAGCCAUGAUUAAGUCCAUUCGGAUUUUGCUUGCUAUAGCUACGUACCAUGAUUAUGAAAUCUGGCAAAUGGACGUGAAGGCGGCCUUUCUGAACGGAUACCUAGAGGAAGAGCUCUAUAUGACUCAACCCGAAGGUUUCGUGUCCAAGUCUGAAAAGACUAAGGUAUGCAAGCUACAAAGGUCCAUUUAUGGACUUAAGCAAGCCUCCAGGAGCUGGAACAUUCGUUUCGACACUGAAAUCAGAACGUUUGGUUUUAGUCAAAACGAAGACGACAAUUGUGUUUAUCAAAAGGUCGUUGGGGAAGCAGUAGUAUUCCUAGUGUUAUAUGUAGAUGACAUAUUACUAUUCGGGAAUGACACUGCAAUACUUUCUUCUGUAAAAGUGUGGUUGUCCAAAACCUUCCACAUGAAAGAUUUAGGAGAUGCAUCUUAUGUACUUGGGAUAAAGCUCUAUCGUGAUAGAUCCAGAAGAUUAAUUGGAUUAUCCCAAUCUAUGUACAUUGAUAAGGUGCUAAGUAGGUUCCAGAUGGAACAAUCUAAGAAAAGUUUUCUUCCUGUUAGACAUGGAAUUCACCUUUCUAAGUCCAUGGAACCUAAGACUCCUGAAGAGAUACGGCAAAUGAAUGCUAUUCCUUAUGCUUUUGCCACAGGGAGUCUCAUGUAUGCCAUGAUAUGCACAAGGCCUGAUAUAGCAUAUGCUGUGAGCAUUACCUAACCCAGGACCAGAACACUGGGCAGCUGUCAAGACGGUCCUUAAGUACUUAAGAAGAACUAAGGACAUGUUCCUCGUAUAUGGAGGAGCGGUUCCAACCAUUACAUCACUAGUAACUUUGUACUGUGAUAAUAGUGGGGCGAUAGCUCAAGCUAAGGAACCCAGGGCACAUCAAAAGAACAAGCAUUUUGACAGGCGCUUUAAUAUCAUUAGAAGAUAUGCUGCCGAUGGGAAAGUCAACAUCCUCAAAGUUGCUUCAGCCGAUAAUGUAGCAGAUCCACUGACAAAUCCAAUGUCUUAAAUCCAGCUUGACCGUCAUAUGGAAAAGAUGGGUAUUAGAUACAUGGAAGGAUGGCUUUGAAUGCAAGUGGGAGAUUGUUGGAAGUAUGCCCACAAAGCCACUCAUUUGAUGUAAUAGCUUUUUGGAAUACUUAAUGUAUUAAACUUUUAUAUGUUUAAUGGAGGGCAAAGCUUAUUGUUAAUCACUAUUUAUUGUAUCAUGUGUUUAAGCAAUAAGGGAAUCCAAGGAAUGUAUUUGAUCUAAGAGACAAGUGAUCUAAGUAAGUUAGAUUAUUGAGACCAUUCUCUUAUGUUCAUUCCUAAAACGUUCCUAGCCAUAGGAUUGCCAAUUGGGCAUUGACAAUCCGCUAAGGUUAGUAUGUGUUAUGUUGACUCAAGCGUGAGUAUGACUAGUCUCAAGUCAUUUGGUGUUGGACACUAAGACAAACACAUAGGUGCUCGAAAGAGUAAUCGACUACACUGAACUACGAUCAAAAGAGAUUUCGAACAUACAUGUCAUGUAUGAACUCUAAAGUUGCAAUAUGCAAAGUAGUCCUUUGACCUGAGGCAUCAUAGAUGUUUAAUGGUUAGGUCCUUGAUCUUUGAUCAUGUCAAACGGCAUUCCAUCGGAGUGUCCACGGCAUUGUUGGGGUUAAGCUAUCUAGUCAUGUAGGAAUAAGAAUGCACAACAAGGGAUCUUUAACCUUCCAUGGUGGAAGGAGAAUACUCUAAGAUAUGAUUCUAAAGUCUUUGGCCAAAGCAUAUGAAUAUGA